This 1542-nucleotide ribosomal RNA is filed under the name Triticum aestivum (bread wheat). RNAcentral's name for it is "partial small subunit ribosomal RNA". The record is from RNAcentral. Lineage: Eukaryota; Viridiplantae; Streptophyta; Magnoliopsida; Poales; Poaceae.
AUGACGUCGCUGCCGGACGAGCUAGUGGAGGAGGUCUUCCUCCGCCUUCCGCCGGACGAGCCCGCGGCGCUCGUGCGGGCCUCCCUCGUCAGCAAGCCCUGGUUCGGCCUCCUCACCGGACCCGCCUUCCGCGGCCGCUACCGCGAGUUCCACGGUGCUCCACCCAUGUUGGGCUUCCUCUACAACCGGCCCUACGGCUACUCCCGCAGGAAAGACCUCACCCCACUCUUCGUCUCAACCACAAAAUUCAGGGUGCGCAUUCCGCACUUUACCCAGCGCACGCACCAAAGUUUGGAUGCAUGGGACUGCCGCCAUGGCAUGGUUCUUCUUGGGGAUAACGGCUACUGUCCCCCGAUGCUCGCCGUUUGGGACCCCAUGACGGGCUGCGCUCGGGAGCUGUACGGGCCCGAAGAAUACCUCGACCCCGCCGAUAGCUACAAGAUCGCGGUGCUCUGCGCCGUGAGCGGCUGCGACCACCGCUCGUGUCACGCGGUCCGCCCCUUCAAGAUGGUCUAUGUCGGCGUGAAGACGCGUGAUGGUGAGUGUGUUGCACUCGCGUUCGUCUCGUCGCCGGACAUGGGUGACUGGACCAAGGCGUCUGAUCCUGAACGUGAGGAGUGGGAGGAGCCGUGCUCUGAUCUUGAUCUUGCAAAUGAUGCGUUCAUCCAUUCAAUGCCUGCUGUCCUCGUCGACGACGCCCUACACUUCCUGCUUGGGUACAAAUAUGAUGAUGGUCGUGCAGGAAUUCUCAAGUACAGCUUGAGCUCUGAUUCUUUAUCGUUUAUUGAUGCGCCGCUUGCCAUGUCUGUUGUUGCUCGUGCCAGUAUCCUCAUGGCGAUGAAGGAUGGCAGAUUGGGGUUUGCACAUGUGGACAGGUUAACCCUCCACGUAUGGUCCAGACAGGUAGAUUCCGAUGGAGGUGCAUCAUGGACUCAUGGUAGAAUCGUGGAUCUCAAGAGCCUUCUCCAUAUUAAAUAUCCCAAGAGUCGAGCUAGACUGAUUGGUUCUGUGGAGGGCGGUGAUAUCAUUUUUGUGACCGCGGAUCUUGGCGUCUACGAGAUUGAUCUCAACACACUAGAGUGGAAGGAGCGACGGAAGAGAGAAAAUCUCCACGCUCUUUAUCCCUACAUGAGUUUUUACAAUCCGCCAGUCUUGACUGGUGCGCUUUUGCUUUUUCAUGCUGUUCUUGGCCUGUAUCAAGUUUGCCACCCAAGAGAUUUCUUUGCACGUUGUGUUGCUUGUGAUGCUUGUGUUGCUAGCCCCCUCCUCGAGCUUGCCUUUGCACGUUGCACCAGUGGAGGUGGAGCCUGCCCAUCUCGUCGCUGCGGAGAUCGGCGUCUGGUGGUCAAGCCGCCCGGCCAUCUCCUUGAUCUUCACCUUGGGGGCGGUCCGGGCGGCGUUCUGCUGGCAAGUCGACUAUCUUUGACAAUGUUCAUGGUCAACAGUGUGACGAUCAAUCGAGCGAUUGCCCGCGCUGUUGGGGCGACCCAUGAGAGUGGGCCGUGUGAGAGUUGGCUGGACAACUGGCGCAUAAGCUUUUGA